UCAAGAAAAAUUCCUUUCGAUCGCGAAUGUCGCUACCUCAUAGAAUAUCUCUUUAGUGUAUGUGGAAUAACUGUUAUCAAAUAACCUUACUAUCAAGUUCUAUGAUCAUUAUUCUCUCCAAUUAAUUGUUGGUUCUAAUUGUCAGGGUUUGAGUGAGACCUCGCAUUUACUUGCCACCAUCUUCUGAACUGCCUCAUGGAUUCUCUGGCACAAGGUUUGAAUUCCGUGUUUUUUCCCCAAAGUUCAACAGUUUGAUGCGAUGCCGCAGAUAUGGAUUAAUAUAAAGUCAGACCAACCGACAAAGGUAUUCUAGAUAUGAAACUCGUUUGAUAUAGAUAUUCUUUCUUUUGUUCCUCUGAAUCAUUCAGUUGAUUUCUAUCAUUAAUUUUGGUAUCUAGACAGAUGAUUUUGUCAUUUAUUGUCCCAGAUGAACAGAAAAUCAUCCAACGAUUGUGACCAUAUUCUUGCUUUUGUUCCAGAAGAAGAUGAAACAAACUUCAUGGUUCUCGGUAAGUUGAGUUAGUUUUAUAGCUGAAUCUUACAAUCUUGUAUAUCUUUCUGGCACUGUGUAUUGUAGACCAAAAUUUUGUCAUGGGCUAAUUUUUGAUAGCUUCAUCCUUACAAGGUAUUCUGACACUGCAAAUAUGGAUCACGUCAGCUCCUUGUACCUUUCUGAAGACUAAAAAGUGACAUAUCAAAAAUUAAAGUUAUCUACAAGUACCUUUCUCAUAUCGCUUAGUGUUCUCAUACUCUUAAGAUCAGUAGUGUGUUUGGUGUCUAAUUAAAGUUUUCUUUCAUUUUCUUAAUGAAACUAAUGAACAUGUGUUUCUGCUUGGUCGACACUAAUUUAGAGUUUGAGGAGGACAUGGAGAGGUCUAUAUGCGAUAUGAGAAGCUAGGUAAGCCAACAAUCCCCUAAUGAGACUACUGUUAAUGAGACGUUCCUUCUUGUAAAUUAACAUGUAGGGAAAAGGAGAAGACAAUGAUAGCCAAACAGGAGAGAUAAUAUACACAACAACUUGCUCAAUUGGAAGAACACUGAAGAAAAAAGAAGCGGGUAAAUAAUAGCCUUACAUUUUUACACCUUCUCUAUUUCUCUUGUUGUAUGACAGAAUGUGAAAUCUCGGGGUGUAGGAUGACAAAAUUUCAGCAUAUUGAAGAAAAUUCUCGGGCUAUAACCUGGAUGAGUAAAAGAUUAACUUCUCUUCAUUUGACUCUAAAGGUAAAGAAACCUCUUACGAUUUUUUUAAGUUUGUCUGAAAGUAUGUAGUCUAUGACUUUGCUAUCUUACUAGCUUAUCACUUGUCUACAUUCUUUUGGAAGCCUAUGACUUUGCUAUCUUACUAGCUUUUCCCUUUCAUCCAGUCGCUUUCAUUGUCCUUUAUGAAUGGUUGUCUAGGUGUAUAUCACCAUUCACCAAAGUAUCUUACAUGCUUAUUCUGCUUGUUGGUCACUACAUAUAGUUUAUCCUCCUAUCGCCUCUUUGGAUCAGUGUUUUUCGUUUCAAAGUAAAGACAAAUUGCUAACAAAAUAGUGUUAAAAUUUCAGCAGACUAGUGGCUCACUUUACAGUGUAUAUGGCUCAAUUGUGGUUGUUAGCAUUCUCACAUUGUAUAUGGCUCAAUUGUGGUAGACAGAAAUAUAUAGCACAAUUUCAGUGAGAAAGAAAUUAAAGUUUGUGAUUUACUAAAUUUUGCAAGGAAGAAGAAAGGAGCUGAUUAUGGCUGCAUUCUUGUUUUGUUAGAGCCCUUGUGACUGUACUAGCACCAAUCUAUUCCGUCUGAUAAUUGGACAUGUUACUUAUAUGGGGUGGUUAAACUGGUAAGUAAGAUUGAUCAUGCAUUUGUAGUGUUUAAUACCAUUUUCACACAAAUAGUUUGUCUUCCUUAAAACUGUAAAAGUGAGAAUUUACUUGAUUUUCAUUUUUGUUUUGUUUGAUUGUGAAAUAAGAUUUUGAAAGGUCCAGUUAUCUCCAAGAAAAAAUAUCUAUGAAAUUGGUUCUGCUUCCUGGCAUCCAUAUUUCUCAAAAUUUGUCGUUGUUUCUGAGAUAAACAUGGUGAUGAUAUUAUGUUGUUUCAAUUGGAUUUCCUUAGUUAAGUAGGUAGUGGGGAAUGGGGAUCAAUAUAGCAGCAGAGAGUGAUGUGGUUUUAGUAUGAGGAACAUGAAGGCAUCAAGGUAUCUAAAUUUAAUACUCUUGUUUCUACUAUGAUCUUUCAUAUUUUUGUAUAUCGGAUCUAGUUAAUAAAUGUGAUUUCAACAGGGAAGAUGCUUGAAAAUUACUUAAAGAGAAGCAAAUUUUCCAUUAAGUUCAUGCUCAGAACAUAUGCAGUUUCAGGUAUAUUAUUCCACUACAGUCACAGAAGUUAUCGUCUCUUUUGUUCAUAGCUAAUAGACUUCUCAAAAUUCUAUAGUGAUUGAACAUGUUUUCUUCUUUGUUUCUUUGUUUCUUUGAUUCUUGGAUUCUUUGAUCUUUGUUUACUUAGUUGCUUCAUUGGUUGCUUAACUUGUUUGUAUGUUUCCUUCUUUAUCACCUUACUUGUUUCAUUGUUUAAUUACAUGCUAAACUUGUUUUCUCAGUUUUUCCUUCAUUGCUAGCUUCUUUACACAACUUGCUUGCUUCCAUGAUUUGUUUACUUACACAAUUAGAGUAAUAGUGAUGAAAAUUUGUGUUGAACUCGGAAAAUUACAACUAUUUGCAACCUAAGAGUUGACAACAAAUCCUUCUAAGACUUCCACAAAUGAAUAAUGUUAGAUUUCAUUACUUCUCUCGCAAAUCCAUUCGCCUCUAAAACAUCUCUUCAUUGGUUGUUUAACUUAUUUGUAUGUUUCCUUCUUUAUCACCUUACUCGUUUCAUUGUUUAAUCACAUGCUAAACUUGUUUUCUCACUUUUUUCCUUCAUUGCUAGCUUCUUUACACAACUUGCUUGCUUCCAUGAUUUGUUUACUUACACAAUUAGAGUAAUAAGUGAUGAAAAUUUGUGUUGAACUCGGAAAAUUACAACUACUUGCAACCUAAGAGUUGACAACCAAUCCUUCUAAAACUUCCACAAAUGAAUAAUGUUAGAUUCCAUCGCUUCUCUCGCAAAUCCAUUCGCCUCUAAAACAAUUCUGGAAGAACUCAACUUCUCCUCUAUAUUCUUCAGCUCUUGGUUGUAGUUUUCAAAAUAAAUGGUGGCACACCAUUUACGAGAAUCAAAACAAUGCGCUCCAAAUUCCUGAUCCCGUAAGCGAAAUGAUAGGUAGACACGUUGAUCAGCUGAGUGGAUUUCCCAUCAUACCGACAGACUCCAUUCUUAGGUUUGAUAUAUGUUUCAAACACGUAUAAACAUCAUAACAUUAAUCAAUAUUUUUUUCACUUGUGUUGGAUUCUUUCUUUCUUUGUUCCCUGUAUACUUCAAUAUUAUCUUAAGAGUAACAUAGAAUAUAUGUCAUCAGAUAGUAGGAAGAUUGCUUCAGCCACUAAAAGCGAGAGCUCAACCCCUAGUCCUUCAGCCUCAUCUUUCUGCUUCUCAUUG
This 3513-nucleotide long non-coding RNA is filed under the name Arabidopsis thaliana (thale cress). RNAcentral's name for it is "long non-coding RNA (ATHA_LNC000543)". Lineage: Eukaryota; Viridiplantae; Streptophyta; Magnoliopsida; Brassicales; Brassicaceae. The record is from RNAcentral.